RNAcentral lists this ribosomal RNA (360 nucleotides) under Babesia sp. Its description in RNAcentral is "SSU rRNA". It matches the Rfam family "Eukaryotic small subunit ribosomal RNA", at positions 475 to 900 of the family's 1831-position model. The record is from RNAcentral. Lineage: Eukaryota; Apicomplexa; Aconoidasida; Piroplasmida; Babesiidae.
AAAUAACAAUACAGGGCAGAUGUCUUGUAAUUGGAAUGAUGGCGACGUAAAAGCUCGCCAGAGUACCAAUUGGAGGGCAAGUCUGGUGCCAGCAGCCGCGGUAAUUCCAGCUCCAAUAGCGUAUAUUAAACUUGUUGCAGUUAAAAAGCUCGUAGUUGAACUUCAGCCAUUGGUGUCAUCGCGCGUGUCGCGUUGAGUCCGUUGGCUUAUCUUUUUACUUUGAGAAAAUUAGAGUGUUUCAAGCAGACUUUUGUCUUGAAUACUUCAGCAUGGAAUAAUAGAGUAGGACCUUGGUUCUAUUUUGUUGGUUUCUGAACCUGGGUAAUGGUUAAUAGGAACGGUUGGGGGCAUUCGUAUUUA